Molecule: ribosomal RNA, 801 nt
Filed under: Streptomyces ambofaciens
Lineage: Bacteria; Bacillati; Actinomycetota; Actinomycetes; Kitasatosporales; Streptomycetaceae
Description: bacterial SSU rRNA
Rfam family: Bacterial small subunit ribosomal RNA
Source: RNAcentral
GACGAUGAACCACUUCGGUGGGGAUUAGUGGCGAACGGGUGAGUAACACGUGGGCAAUCUGCCCUGCACUCUGGGACAAGCCCUGGAAACGGGGUCUAAUACCGGAUACUGAUCCGCUUGGGCAUCCAGGCGGUUCGAAAGCUCCGGCGGUGCAGGAUGAGCCCGCGGCCUAUCAGCUUGUUGGUGAGGUAGUGGCUCACCAAGGCGACGACGGGUAGCCGGCCUGAGAGGGCGACCGGCCACACUGGGACUGAGACACGGCCCAGACUCCUACGGGAGGCAGCAGUGGGGAAUAUUGCACAAUGGGCGAAAGCCUGAUGCAGCGACGCCGCGUGAGGGAUGACGGCCUUCGGGUUGUAAACCUCUUUCAGCAGGGAAGAAGCGAAAGUGACGGUACCUGCAGAAGAAGCGCCGGCUAACUACGUGCCAGCAGCCGCGGUAAUACGUAGGGCGCAAGCGUUGUCCGGAAUUAUUGGGCGUAAAGAGCUCGUAGGCGGCUUGUCACGUCGGUUGUGAAAGCCCGGGGCUUAACCCCGGGUCUGCAGUCGAUACGGGCAGGCUAGAGUUCGGUAGGGGAGAUCGGAAUUCCUGGUGUAGCGGUGAAAUGCGCAGAUAUCAGGAGGAACACCGGUGGCGAAGGCGGAUCUCUGGGCCGAUACUGACGCUGAGGAGCGAAAGCGUGGGGAGCGAACAGGAUUAGAUACCCUGGUAGUCCACGCCGUAAACGGUGGGCACUAGGUGUGGGCAACAUUCCACGUUGUCCGUGCCGCAGCUAACGCAUUAAGUGCCCCGCCUGGGGAG